Molecule: ribosomal RNA, 272 nt
Filed under: Escherichia coli O25
Lineage: Bacteria; Pseudomonadati; Pseudomonadota; Gammaproteobacteria; Enterobacterales; Enterobacteriaceae
Description: partial 16S ribosomal RNA
Rfam family: Bacterial small subunit ribosomal RNA
Source: RNAcentral
AAAUUGAAGAGUUUGAUCAUGGCUCAGAUUGAACGCUGGCGGCAGGCCUAACACAUGCAAGUCGAACGGUAACAGGAAACAGCUUGCUGUUUCGCUGACGAGUGGCGGACGGGUGAAUAAUGUCUGGGAAACUGCCUGAUGGAGGGGGAUAACUACUGGAAACGGUAGCUAAUACCGCAUAACGUCGCAAGACCAAAGAGGGGGACCUUCGGGCCUCUUGCCAUCGGAUGUGCCCAGAUGGGAUUAGCUAGUAGGUGGGGUAACGGCUCACC